CCCAGUCGGCACGGAUACACGUCUGCCAAAAAGGGUAGCCGAGGAACGCGCGGUGCGCACUCUGCACACAACCCGCACUUGGGAUCGGGGGGUUAGAUCUCGGCGGUGUGGAGGGGGGAGGAGGAAGGGAGCAGGCGGCGGCGUGAAGGAGGGAGGAGGGAGCAGCGGUGUGGGAGGUGGGAUCGUGGCGCGCGAGCAAGACAGCAGCGUAUAUGGUAGCGACGGCCGGGGACGGUACCACAGCGCCGCGAGAAGGACGCGGGAGCGCAGGCUGGAGUGGUCCAGGAGCUAGAGCCGGAGUAGCCGAACGACGCCGCCGGCGAGAGCUGCGGCAGGAACGCUGUGCUGUCGCCGUUUGGGCUCGCGGCUGUUGAUUACACCACCACGUCGCCUGCCGUCGGAGUCGCCCGCUCGCUGCCUCUGACGUUGACCACGUGUUCGAGCGUGGAGUUACGCAGGCACGAACUUAUCGAGCGUAGAAGUGCCGGUGGUUCACGUGUCCGGUCAUCAAUUUAAAAGACACCUACUCAGGAACAGCCUACCUACCACUGAUUGCUCUACGUGAGGAAACGGUGUUCAUUAAAAUUAUUUCCCUAACACAUGUUCACAAGUCUAGAAAAGAACACUCUUCCUACGUGUUUUAGUUCAAAAAACAGCCAUCCUCGAAAAAAGCGACAGGUUGACAAGUCAAGGUGACCUUGUUCCCCAGGUGACCUGAAGAUAACAAAGGCUUGAACUACACCUAUUUUAGUUGGUCUCAUAAUACCACUUUGGUUCAAAGUGGUGAACUGUUGAAUGUCCCGGAAAGUUCCUUAACAAGGAUUUUACUCCCCGGUUACAUACUACAAGUCACCAGAAGAAGUCCAAGACUUAAACAACACCAGAUACCUAUAUAGGAAUGUAGCAGGAAUGUACUUGGUAUUGUAAAGACCAAAUUACAGAAACAAAAGAUGUUAACAAGGAACUGAUUUAGAACCAAUCCGGCCGGUCUCGUGGUUAUAAGUCGGUUUUUACGUUAGGAGAAGUGCUCGAACCACUUCCGGUAAUAUUAUGCUAUUCUACCUUAGGACUUCCCGCUAAAAUUCUUCUACACAACUUUUCGACAUAGUCGUAUUUUUACCUCUUUGUUUCUUCAUUACAAGGUCAUAUAAACGUCUCCACUUUAUAAUUGCGGUCAAGCUCGCGUGGCCGGAGCUACCGUUCUCUGGUGAUGGUAGUCACAUCACCAUAUCGUAUGACACUCGUUAGUCCUUGUUUUUGUCCUCCAAAUUAAAAGUGUUUAGCCAUGACGUAUAAAAAGUCUUCUAUACGUAACACUAACUUGUACUCUUUAGGAAAUGGAGGGAUAUGAAGUUCCACACAAGACGAGAUUUUACUGUUCGUGGGUUGCUUCACUCUCGCGUUUGGUGUACAACUUCUCAAUAUACGGUGGACGAUCGGGCUACGUGUAAAAACACUCCGUCAUAUACUCCGAGGUCAAACUGGUACCCUUCCUCCUUUCACAGCACUCCUCUCGUUUAGACCGUUUACCGUUAUCUCGUCGUACGUUCGUUUCACAUGUGAACACGAUACAAAACCUCGGGGCAGCUUUCCAAACCUCCGGGUCCUUCCAUCACAACCCCGCAGGCAGCCGCACUUACGCGAAGUUACUGAUCGUGGUGGCCUCAUCGUCUCUCCACAUCCCUCCGGCAGCUUGUCGGCCCUCUUUCGUGGUGUGCUCCCAGACUCGUUCGUAUGGUCCAAAACGUCGUAGACGGGGGCACUUCCGGUGUUCGGCUGCUGUACGGGACUAGCACCUCUUCGUGGAUUUCUCGGGGCGUUUGGGCCUUUCACGUUCUUGACAACUUACCUUUCCGCGGCGUCCUUGUGCACGUGUGCGGAUGACCCACCACGUGUAUACAUCAGAUCUUCUAAAUUUUAAAGCACACAUUACACACUAAGUUCCUAAAAGACCACACACAACACUCGGUACGAGGUGCUAACAAGGAGGUCACGAAUUAGAAUCACGACAACAUAAGGUAUCACAACAUACCAUUCAGGCAUUGAGUUGUCUUGAAGUGUUAAUACUAUCUUUUUUACAACCCGCACUAUAGAUGUAAAAGGU
RNAcentral lists this ribosomal RNA (2104 nucleotides) under Triticum aestivum (bread wheat). Its description in RNAcentral is "partial small subunit ribosomal RNA". Lineage: Eukaryota; Viridiplantae; Streptophyta; Magnoliopsida; Poales; Poaceae. The record is from RNAcentral.